AUCAGUGGAGGCUGGUGGGAGGAGCUAUAGGAGGAUGGGCUCAUUGUAAUGGCUGGAAUGGAAUCAAUGGAACGGUAUCAAACACACCACAGAUAUGGAAACCACAUGUUUGACUCCUUCAGAUUUUCCAUUCCAGCCAUUACAAUGAGCCCAUCCUCUUCCAGCUCCUCCCACCAGCCUCUACUGACCUGGAUGCACAUGUAUCAUGCUUAGGCUAAUGGCUAGGCUAAUGUGGUCCUUUGUAGCUCAGUUGGUAGAGCACGGCGUGUGUAAUGUCAGGGUAUUGGGUUUGCUUCCAGGGACUACCCAUACGCAAAAUAGCAGGUUUGCUGCAUGAGCUAGGCGGUGGAGACCAACUACAGCCAGAGAGGAAGAGGUAAAGAAAUCGGCCCAACUCGGUGGAAAAAUCUGGCGCCAGGCUCCAGGAACCCACAGGAUCAACCACACCGACAUGACAGAGGAAAAGGAAAACCAAUGAUGUAAUGCUCAACGUACCCUGUCCCGAAGCUCAACGUACCCUGUCCCGAGGCUCAACCUACCCCAUACCCAGG
Long non-coding RNA from Oncorhynchus tshawytscha (Chinook salmon), 551 nucleotides. NCBI's taxonomy places the organism in Eukaryota, Metazoa, Chordata, Actinopteri, Salmoniformes, Salmonidae. The record is from Ensembl.